AUGGCUCAUUAAAUCAGUUAUA
Molecule: non-coding RNA, 22 nt
Filed under: Arabidopsis thaliana (thale cress)
Lineage: Eukaryota; Viridiplantae; Streptophyta; Magnoliopsida; Brassicales; Brassicaceae
Source: RNAcentral